Molecule: ribosomal RNA, 465 nt
Filed under: uncultured bacterium
Lineage: Bacteria
Description: partial 16S ribosomal RNA
Rfam family: Bacterial small subunit ribosomal RNA
Source: RNAcentral
GAUGAACGCUGGCGGCGUGCUUAACACAUGCAAGUCGAACGGAAAGGCUCCUGCUUGCAGGGGUACUCGAGUGGCGAACGGGUGAGUAACACGUGGGUGAUCUUCCCUGCACUUCGGGAUAAGCGUGGGAAACUGGGUCUAAUACCUGAUAGGACGAUGGUUUGGAGGCCAUUCUGGAAAGUUUUUCGGUGUUGGCUGAGCUCGCGGCCUAUCAGCUUGUUGGUGGGGUAAUGGCCUACCAAGGCGUGGACGGGUAGCCGGCCUGAGAGGGGGUACGGCCACAUUGGGACUGCGAUACGGCCCAGACUCCUACGGGAGGCAGCAGUGGGGAAUAUUGCACAAUGGGGGCAAGCCUGAUGCAGCGACGCCGCGUGGGGGAUGAAGGCCUUCGGGUUGUAAACUCCUUUCGCUAGGGACGAAGCGCAAGUGACGGUACCUGGAGAAGAAGCACCGGCUAACUACGUG